CUGCCCCUACGGGACGCAGCAGUGAGGAAUAUUGCGCAAUGGAUGAAAGUCUGACGCAGCGACGCCGCGUGAGGGAUGAAGGUUUUCGGAUCGUAAACCUCUGUCAGGAGGGAAGAAAGCGCAUGGCGCCAAUCAGCCAUGCGUUGACGGUACCUCCAAAGGAAGCGCCGGCUAACUCCGUGCCAGCAGCCGCGGCAAUACGGAGGGCGCGAGCGUUAAUCGGAAUUACUGGGCGUAAAGCGCGCGUAGGCUGUUGUGUAAGUUGGGGGUGAAAUCCCACGGCUCAACCGUGGAACAGCCCUUGA
This 305-nucleotide ribosomal RNA is filed under the name uncultured bacterium. Its description in RNAcentral is "bacterial SSU rRNA". It matches the Rfam family "Bacterial small subunit ribosomal RNA", at positions 333 to 630 of the family's 1533-position model. The record is from RNAcentral.